RNAcentral lists this ribosomal RNA (460 nucleotides) under uncultured bacterium. RNAcentral's name for it is "partial 16S ribosomal RNA". It matches the Rfam family "Bacterial small subunit ribosomal RNA", at positions 338 to 795 of the family's 1533-position model. The record is from RNAcentral.
CCUACGGGUGGCAGCAGUGAGGAAUAUUGGUCAAUGGGCGCGAGCCUGAACCAGCCAAGUAGCGUGAAGGAUGACUCCCCUACGGGUUGUAAACUUCUUUUAUAAAGGAAUAAAGUGAUGCCCGUUUGCCUUUUUGUAUGUACUUUAUGAUUAACGUCCGGCUAACUCCUUCCAAGCAUCCGCGGUAAUACGGAGGAUCCGACCGUUUUCCGGCUUUAUUGGGUUUAAGGGUACCUUGGAUGGGUUGUUACGUAAGUUGUGAAAGUUUGCGCCUCAACCGUAAAAGUGCAAUUGAUACUGGCAGGCUGGAGUACAGUUGAGGUAGGCGGAAUUCGUGGUGUAGCGGUGAAAUGCUUAGAUAUCACGAAGAACACCGAUUGCGAAGGCAGCUUACGAAACUGCAACUGACAUUGAUGCUCGAAAGUGUGGGUAUCAAACAGGAUUAGAUACCCCUGUAGUC